GGGCACAGAAGCUGGAAAACGGCAGAGGAGGAAAAGAAGGAAAAAAAAAUGGGGGAAGAAAGAAAAGAAAAAAAGGGGAAGAUAAGCUAAGUCCCCGGUCUUCUCCUCAAUUUUUCAAGGUAAGCAUAAGUUUUACUUAGACCCUGCUUGAUAUCCAUUUUUUUUUUUUCAAAAUGCAUUUUUCUCUCUCUUCUUUUCAACUACACAUUCUUUAUUAAAAUAAUAUUACAUGUAAAUAAAAAUUUUUUCCUUAUUUUUCAAUCACACAUUUCCCAUAAUUUACUAUUCUAAAAUUCAUUUUUACAUAAAAAUAGGUAUCAAGUACCCUCUUAUUGAAGAAUGAUAUUAGAUUUUAGGGUUCAUGGAAAUUCCUUAAAUUCGAGAUUUAGGAAGAAUUAAAGGUUAUUAGUAGGUAUUUGUGGUCAAAGAAAUAUAUAUCAAAUGAUUAGUGUCGGAAAAAAGAAAAGAAAAGAAUAGAAAAGAAAAUGGGGGAAACUUUGAAAAUGGGUUUAUGAAAUAGAUACUUAUUCUUUGAUUUAUUGGGAUUAUAUGAUGUUAAGCACUUAAAUUAAGGAUUUGGGGUUGAUUUCUCCAUUUUUAAGUUAUUGAAGAAUGAUAUUAGAUUUUAGGGUUCAUGGAAAUUCCUUAAAUUCGAGAUUUAGGAAGAAUUAAAGGUUAUUAGUAGGUAUUUGUGGUCAAAGAAAUAUAUAUCAAAUGAUUAGUGUCGGAAAAAAGAAAAGAAAAGAAUGGAAAAGAAAAUGGGGGAAACUUUGAAAAUGGGUUUAUGAAAUAUAUACUUAUUCUUUGAUUUAUUGGGAUUAUAUGAUGUUAAGCACUUAAAUUAAGGAUUUGGGGUUGAUUUCUCCAUUUUUAAGUAAUUAAUAUAAGCUACUUUGGACAAAAUCCUCUUCAGGCGCUGUUUUUGAAAAUUGUCCAGAAUAGCGCUAUUUCUGUCAAAGGUUUUGAUAUGGGAAUUGGUACCUGAUUUUAAUAUUAUGGGAUUUUAGUGCUGUUUUUGUCAAAGUUCUUAUUUUCAGAUUUUUAAAGGUUUGAAUGAAAUUAUAUGCCAAAUAUUGAAGUUUAUGUAUUUGACUAAAUUCGAUAUAGGGGUUGUAUACGAAUAAGGUAGUGAUGUUAAGGAAGUGCAAGUGAUUUAAUGGAUUUGUUAAUAAAUGGUGAUUAGUUGGUAAAUUGUUAGAGAGAAGAAAAUUUGGGGAAUUCAUUCAAGUAUCAAGAAAUGGAAAUUCAAGAUAAAAUUUGAAAGUUGAGGAAUUAAGUGGUGACUUUGCAUUAAUUUAAUUGUUAUAUUUUAAUUUGAGUUAUUAUACUGCUAUUUCAGGUAAUGACAUGGAAGUUUGGAGAUGCCGGUUAAUUUAGCUAGAUUUUUAUCCAUAGAGUAGUGAGUGGAAAUAAAACUUAUUUUUUCAGAAAAAAGUAUUUAUUGAAUUUUGAAGUUACGUAUUUUAUAAGUUGAGUUGAUAGCAUGAUUUUUCAGAAUAAAAUGAAUUUUAUUAUCAAAUGUUUAUAAAAGUUAAAUUCAGUUCAACUAAAUUAUUUCAUUGACAUAUUAUUUCAGUAUUAAAUAUUUCAGCAGAGUUAAAGUUAUUUUUAAAAUCACCAGAAAGCACCCAAGUGAUUUUACCCUAAUCUGCACUGGUGUGAAUGUGUUUCCACAUUUUAUGAUCAGUUAUGGUGAUUUUACCCGCUCUGCACUAUUGUGAAUGUGUUUUCAUAGUAUAUGAUCAGAUUAUUAGAUUAUCAGAAGUCUUUGGGACCCACUCUAGUACACACAUAGGCUUUGAGCCGUGUACUAGGGUGAUUAGCCUUUAGGGGCAGCUCUGCGUACGUAUGACCAGAUUAUCAGAUUACUAGAUUAUCAAAAUAUCAUAUUUGAAUGACUCUGCCUUGUACAUCAAGAUUACGCUGUACAUGAGUAAGGCUAUUCAUUGGGUACCUUUUUGAUGUGAUUUUUCACUAUUUUUACAGCUUGUCAGAUUUCAGAUUAUAGAAUUCAGUCUUUUCAGUUCUCAGAUUAAAGCUUUCAGCUUAUAGUAUUCAUCGGCAUCAAUAUUUCAUAGAUUUUCGCGGAUGUCAUCUUAUUUAUAUUCGUUACAUUUUACAGUUACUUAUCUAGAAUGAAUAACAAAGAAUUUUAUGAUAUAUUCAUGUUUGAUUUUAAAAGUGUUACUAGUUUUCCGAAUUUCUCAAGUUUUAGUAGUGCAAGAAUUUUUAAAAAAUAUGCAUAAAUGAGAAAAGUUUACUUAUUCACAAAUUAUCCACUCACUAAGCUCAUUUAUUUUUCACAUUUUUCUUUAUGAGACAGAAAGCAGACAAAUUGAGCAGUUUUGGAGCCUGUCGAACCACCGAAUUGAGCCACGCACCAUAGGUUGUAUGACAUCCUUUAGCAGAUUAUACAUUAUGUGUUCUUUUGGAAUACAUAUAGUUUAAAUCAAAAAAGUUCAUUAUGGGCUCAUUAGAUAUUUGGUAUCUUUAGUAUAUUUGAGGAUUGUUGUUUGUAAAGUAAGUAAAUAUUGAUUUUCUAGCAUUUUAUUUGAAUAGUUUGUAUUUUGAGGUACUGACGUAUCCUGAUUUAUAUUAUAUGUAUUGAUUUGAGGAAAAUUGGUUAUUGUUAAGGUGGUUUUAGUUCGUAUUUCAGGAAAAACUCUAUCAAAAUUCUGUUAAAAUUUUUUUUUUUAGUCAAGCAAGUCAAAGUUACCUUGAUGAUGGGUCCGACGUUUAGCGGGUAUCUACCAUCGGCGCAUGACACGUGUCGAGUCCAUUAAGGUGAUUCAGGAUUGUCGUGUCAGUAUACUUAUC
RNAcentral lists this long non-coding RNA (2817 nucleotides) under Olea europaea subsp. europaea. The record is from RNAcentral. Lineage: Eukaryota; Viridiplantae; Streptophyta; Magnoliopsida; Lamiales; Oleaceae.